RNAcentral lists this ribosomal RNA (404 nucleotides) under Actinomycetes bacterium. RNAcentral describes it as "Actinobacteria bacterium partial 16S ribosomal RNA". It matches the Rfam family "Bacterial small subunit ribosomal RNA", at positions 355 to 776 of the family's 1533-position model. Lineage: Bacteria; Bacillati; Actinomycetota; Actinomycetes. The record is from RNAcentral.
UGGGGAAUAUUGGACAAUGGGCGCAAGCCUGAUCCAGCCAUGCCGCGUGAGUGAUGAAGGCCCUAGGGUUGUAAAGCUCUUUCACCGGUGAAGAUAAUGACGGUAACCGGAGAAGAAGCCCCGGCUAACUUCGUGCCAGCAGCCGCGGUAAUACGAAGGGGGCUAGCGUUGUUCGGAUUUACUGGGCGUAAAGCGCACGUAGGCGGACUUUUAAGUCAGGGGUGAAAUCCCGGGGCUCAACCCCGGAACUGCCUUUGAUACUGGAAGUCUUGAGUAUAGUAGAGGUGAGUGGAAGUCCGAGUGUAGAGGUGAAAUUCGUAGAUAUUCGGAGGAACACCAGUGGCGAAGGCGGCUCACUGGACCAUUACUGACGCUGAGGUGCGAAAGCGUGGGGAGCAAACAGG